This 1372-nucleotide ribosomal RNA is filed under the name uncultured bacterium. RNAcentral's name for it is "bacterial SSU rRNA". It matches the Rfam family "Bacterial small subunit ribosomal RNA", at positions 28 to 1381 of the family's 1533-position model. The record is from RNAcentral.
GAUGAACGCUGGCGGCGUGCCUAAUACAUGCAAGUCGAGCGAACGGACGAGAAGCUUGCUUCUCUGAUGUUAGCGGCGGACGGGUGAGUAACACGUGGAUAACCUACCUAUAAGACUGGGAUAACUUCGGGAAACCGGAGCUAAUACCGGAUAAUAUUUUGAACCGCAUGGUUCAAAAGUGAAAGACGGUCUUGCUGUCACUUAUAGAUGGAUCCGCGCUGCAUUAGCUAGUUGGUAAGGUAACGGCUUACCAAGGCAACGAUGCAUAGCCGACCUGAGAGGGUGAUCGGCCACACUGGAACUGAGACACGGUCCAGACUCCUACGGGAGGCAGCAGUAGGGAAUCUUCCGCAAUGGGCGAAAGCCUGACGGAGCAACGCCGCGUGAGUGAUGAAGGUCUUCGGAUCGUAAAACUCUGUUAUUAGGGAAGAACAUAUGUGUAAGUAACUGUGCACAUCUUGACGGUACCUAAUCAGAAAGCCACGGCUAACUACGUGCCAGCAGCCGCGGUAAUACGUAGGUGGCAAGCGUUAUCCGGAAUUAUUGGGCGUAAAGCGCGCGUAGGCGGUUUUUUAUGUCUGAUGUGAAAGCCCACGGCUCAACCGUGGAGGGUCAUUGGAAACUGGAAAACUUGAGUGCAGAAGAGGAAAGUGGAAUUCCAUGUGUAGCGGUGAAAUGCGCAGAGAUAUGGAGGAACACCAGUGGCGAAGGCGACUUUCUGGUCUGUAACUGACGCUGAUGUGCGAAAGCGUGGGGAUCAAACAGGAUUAGAUACCCUGGUAGUCCACGCCGUAAACGAUGAGUGCUAAGUGUUAGGGGGUUUCCGCCCCUUAGUGCUGCAGCUAACGCAUUAAGCACUCCGCCUGGGGAGUACGACCGCAAGGUUGAAACUCAAAGGAAUUGACGGGGACCCGCACAAGCGGUGGAGCAUGUGGUUUAAUUCGAAGCAACGCGAAGAACCUUACCAAAUCUUGACAUCCUUUGACAACUCUAGAGAUAGAGCUUUCCCCUUCGGGGGACAAAGUGACAGGUGGUGCAUGGUUGUCGUCAGCUCGUGUCGUGAGAUGUUGGGUUAAGUCCCGCAACGAGCGCAACCCUUAAGCUUAGUUGCCAUCAUUAAGUUGGGCACUCUAAGUUGACUGCCGGUGACAAACCGGAGGAAGGUGGGGAUGACGUCAAAUCAUCAUGCCCCUUAUGAUUUGGGCUACACACGUGCUACAAUGGACAAUACAAAGGGCAGCGAAACCGCGAGGUCAAGCAAAUCCCAUAAAGUUGUUCUCAGUUCGGAUUGUAGUCUGCAACUCGACUACAUGAAGCUGGAAUCGCUAGUAAUCGUAGAUCAGCAUGCUACGGUGAAUACGUUCCCGGGUCU